Molecule: ribosomal RNA, 1193 nt
Filed under: uncultured bacterium
Lineage: Bacteria
Description: bacterial SSU rRNA
Rfam family: Bacterial small subunit ribosomal RNA
Source: RNAcentral
ACCAAGGCGACAAUGGGUAGCCGGUCUGAGAGGAUGUACGGCCACACUGGGACUGAGAUACGGCCCAGACUCCUACGGGAGGCAGCAGUGGGGAAUAUUGCGCAAUGGGGGAAACCCUGACGCAGCGACGCCGCGUGGAUGAUGAAGGCCCUUGGGUUGUAAACCCCUUUUCUCAGGGAAGAAUAAUGACGGUACCUGAGGAAUAAGUCGUGGCUAACUACGUGCCAGCAGCCGCGGUAAUACGUAGGCGGCAAGCGUUAUCCGGAUUUACUGGGCGUAAAGAGGGCGUAGCGGUUUUUCAAGUCGAUUGUAAAAUCUCCCGGCUUAACUGGGAGGAGUCAUUCGAUACUGUUAGACUAGAGAGCAGCAUGGGGAGGUGGAAUUCCCGGUGUAGUGGUGAAAUGUGUAGAUAUCGGGAGGAACACCAGUGGCGAAGCGGCCUCCUAGCUGUUUCUAACGCUGAGCCCGAAAGCGUGGGGAGCAAACAGGAUCAGAUACCCUGGUAGUCCACGCUGUAAUCGAUGGACACUAGGUAUAGGGAGUAUCGACCCUCUCUGUGCCGAAGCUAACGCAUUAAGUGUCCCGCCUGGGGACUACGGCCGCAAGGCUAAAACUCAAAGGAAUUGACGGGGGCCCGCACAAGCAGCGGAGCGUGUGGUUUAAUUCGAUGCAACACGAAGAACCUUACCAAGGCUUGACAUGUCGGAAGUAGCGACCCGAAAGGGAAGCCACCUGUUGAGUCAGGAACCGUCACAGGUGCUGCAUGGCUGUCGUCAGCUCGUGCUGUGAAGUGUUAGGUUAAGUCCUAUAACGAGCGCAACCCUCGUUGCCAGUUAUUUUCUCUGGCGAGACUGCCCUGCAAAAUGGGGAGGAAGGUGGGGAUGACGUCAAGUCAGCACGGCCCUUAUGCCUUGGGCCACACACACGCUACAAUGGGUGGUACAAUGGGUAGCAAUAGAGCGAUCUGGAGCCAAUCCUAUAAAGCCAUCCUCAGUUCGGAUUGCAGGCUGAAACCCGCCUGCAUGAAGUUGGAGUUGCUAGUAACCGCAGGUCAGCAUACUGCGGUGAAUACGUUCUCGGGCCUUGUACACACCGCCCGUCACGUCAUGAAAGUUGGCAACACCUGAAGUCGAUGGGCUAACUCCGACUUGUCGGAGAGGCAGUCGCCGAGGGUGGGGUUAAUGAUUGGGACG